UACAUGCAGUCGAGCGGACAGAUGGGAGCUUGCUCCCUGAUGUUAGCGGCGGACGGGUGAGUAACACGUGGGUAACCUGCCUGUAAGACUGGGAUAACUCCGGGAAACCGGGGCUAAUACCGGAUGGUUGUCUGAACCGCAUGGUUCAGACAUAAAAGGUGGCUUCGGCUACCACUUACAGAUGGACCCGCGGCGCAUUAGCUAGUUGGUGAGGUAACGGCUCACCAAGGCGACGAUGCGUAGCCGACCUGAGAGGGUGAUCGGCCACACUGGGACUGAGACACGGCCCAGACUCCUACGGGAGGCAGCAGUAGGGAAUCUUCCGCAAUGGACGAAAGUCUGACGGAGCAACGCCGCGUGAGUGAUGAAGGUUUUCGGAUCGUAAAGCUCUGUUGUUAGGGAAGAACAAGUGCCGUUCAAAUAGGGCGGCACCUUGACGGUACCUAACCAGAAAGCCACGGCUAACUACGUGCCAGCAGCCGCGGUAAUACGUAGGUGGCAAGCGUUGUCCGGAAUUAUUGGGCGUAAAGGGCUCGCAGGCGGUUUCUUAAGUCUGAUGUGAAAGCCCCCGGCUCAACCGGGGAGGGUCAUUGGAAACUGGGGAACUUGAGUGCAGAAGAGGAGAGUGGAAUUCCACGUGUAGCGGUGAAAUGCGUAGAGAUGUGGAGGAACACCAGUGGCGAAGGCGACUCUCUGGUCUGUAACUGACGCUGAGGAGCGAAAGCGUGGGGAGCGAACAGGAUUAGAUACCCUGGUAGUCCACGCCGUAAACGAUGAGUGCUAAGUGUUAGGGGGUUUCCGCCCCUUAGUGCUGCAGCUAACGCAUUAAGCAC
This 833-nucleotide ribosomal RNA is filed under the name Bacillus velezensis. RNAcentral describes it as "bacterial SSU rRNA". It matches the Rfam family "Bacterial small subunit ribosomal RNA", at positions 52 to 867 of the family's 1533-position model. Lineage: Bacteria; Bacillati; Bacillota; Bacilli; Caryophanales; Bacillaceae. The record is from RNAcentral.